CUCAAAGAUGGUGUCUACUAAUAAAGUACUAACAGCUCCUCUUGAAUCCAACAGAAACUCACAACAGAUAAAAACCAAACAAAAAAUCUCCUAUAAGGUAUGCCAUUGAGGCAGAUGAAUUCAGACAUGCUCCAGGCUUGGGGAAAUUUGGAACUAGUAACUAUUAAAAUGACAAGCAACUUGCCAGACGGAGUCAAUGAAAUCAACCAUUUUCCUAAACUGAAAAUGUAGUGCACAGAUUAAAAUAAUGAGUCUCAGCUACUGCAUUGACUGUAAGAGAUCGGAGUUCACACUGAAAGGAGGGCCCCAUGCAUGUUGCAAAAAUUCCUUUUCAUCACACUGGGAGAAUAUGUACGUUGCAAAGAACUGAAAAUAGAGGGGGCUGACCUGGACUAUAUGGCUAAAAUUCCCAGGGUGAAUUCUGGGAUACAGAAAGUCCUAGAGUGAGGUUAACAGGCUGUAAAAAAAGAACAUUUCCCAGUCCUGCUGCUGUGGAACUGGACACAAGAAGAAACACAACUGGAUAUCCUGCUCCUUGAAGGUACGAAUGAUAGAUUGGGGGACAGCUUGGCUACUACCCACCCCUCAAAGACUCUGCAUGGGACAGAGGGUUAGUCAGAUGCUUCCUGAAGAUGCUGAGAGAGAGGCUGAUUGUCACUGGGUCCCCAAGAUGACAAGGCUUUCAGAAAAUCUUCCCAUUAAAAACAUAAAUGAAGCUUGUCCCACAUGGAUUUUUAAAUGGAAAGUUAAGAUUCAACUGAGAUGAUAAUCAAAUAUUGAUUCCUGAAAUGUAUAACCCUGCAUGGACAGGUGAGUUCUGCAUUCAUUCCUGUGUGUGAUAUACGGAACACAAUGAGCCAAGUCUGUGAGGGCUUCUCUUAAUGCUGAGGAUGAUCAUGGUUCAAUACUAAAAUUUCCAUUUCUUGCAAAUAAUUUCAUUCUGUAAUUAAUGUUCGAGGCUAUAUGUGAUAUGCUGUGUGCUCACAAAUAUGCCCCAGUUGCGUGCUGCAGCACAACAGAACUAUAAAAGAAUGAAAUUACAUACAUUCCUUUCUAUAACAUAAAAUCACAGAGCUCACAGUGAAUCACUUCAAAACAGAAUUAAAAUGCUACAGAGCAUACAGGAAGAGGUUUCAUUAAAAUACAAACAAACACAAAGCUUCUUGAACAAAUUGCGUUGUGAUGCAUUGACUCAAAUAUCAUUACAAUGUGUUCACCUACCAGUAAUUUUUAGAGAUCUAUUGUUUAUUUUUGAAGUGAGGAAUAAUAAUCUUUUCAUUUCUUCUUCUUUAAUAAACUAUUUUUCAAAUUGUAUCAAGGUCAACAUUUUCAAAUAUGGGUGCCUCAGGUUCAGCACUUAAAUCCAUAUUUAGGCACUCAAUAAGGUUUUUCUAAGUAUCCAUCAUUCAAAACUUCAGGUGCCUUAAUUGGAAAAUUGUGUAAAUAAAACACUUGAAUAUUUUUAUGAACCAACAGAUAGUUGACAAGAGAAGAACAUAAGGAGAUAUGAUGGGUGAGGGAUUAAGGAGAAGGGACAGAAGUGGGUCAUAAAUCAAAUGGCCCAAAUACAGGUCCAAGAAUGCAUGUUAAAACAUUAUGGAGGUCUUGUCAAAGACAGAGUAGAAGGAUUAAUAUAAGGAAAGCACAUGGGGUUAGAGUUAAAUAUUCUUCAUUCUAUUCUUGGCUCUGCUACUGACUUGACGUAUGGUGUUGGGCAAGUCACUUUACCAUAUGGUUGCCUGAGUUCAUUAAUUUAUAAAAUAGCAAUAAUUCUUAAAGGCAAGUCCUACUUUCCAUUGAAGUUUGUAAAGCACUUUGAGAUGCUUGGAUGAAAGAGACUAGAACAGUGGAGAGUAUUGUUAGUAUAAUGUGUCAAAGUAUAGAUGUAAUCAGGUGAGCUACCACUUUCAAA
Chrysemys picta bellii (western painted turtle) is the source of this 1912-nucleotide non-coding RNA. The record is from RefSeq and is a predicted model, not a curated record. Lineage: Eukaryota; Metazoa; Chordata; Testudines; Emydidae.